Molecule: ribosomal RNA, 300 nt
Filed under: Lepidargyrus instabilis
Lineage: Eukaryota; Metazoa; Arthropoda; Insecta; Hemiptera; Miridae
Description: partial large subunit ribosomal RNA
Source: RNAcentral
UUACUUUCUUUAUUUUAAAAAUAAAAUUUAAUUUUUGAAUUAAAAAGUUUAAGUGUUUGUAUAGGACGAGAAGACCCUAUAGAACUUUAUUUUUCCUGGAUUAAUUAUUCACUUGUGAAUAAUUUUUAUUUAUUUUAGGAAAAAUUUUGUUGGGGUGACAAAAAAAAUUAAAUAACUUUUUUUAUAUUUAUCAUUUAUAUAUGAUUUUUUGAUCCUUUAUUAUGGAUAAAAGAUUAAGUUACCUUAGGGAUAACAGCGUUAUUAUUUUAGAGAGUUCAUAUUGAURAAMUAGUUUGCSAC